CGGGGGGCAGCAGUGGGGAAUUUUGGACAAUGGGCGCAAGCCUGAUCCAGCAAUGCCGCGUGCAGGAUGAAGGCCUUCGGGUUGUAAACUGCUUUUGUACGGAACGAAACGGUCCCUUCUAAUACAAGAGGCUAAUGACGGUACCGUAAGAAUAAGCACCGGCUAACUACGUGCCAGCAGCCGCGGUAAUACGUAGGGUGCGAGCGUUAAUCGGAAUUACUGGGCGUAAAGCGUGCGCAGGCGGUUAUAUAAGACAGAUGUGAAAUCCCCGGGCUCAACCUGGGACCUGCAUAUGUGACUGUAUAGCUAGAGUACGGUAGAGGGGGAUGGAAUUCCGCGUGUAGCAGUGAAAUGCGUAGAUAUGCGGAGGAACACCGAUGGCGAAGGCAAUCCCCUGGACCUGUACUGACGCUCAUGCACGAAAGCGUGGGGAGCAAACAGGAUUAGAUACCCCGGU
RNAcentral lists this ribosomal RNA (457 nucleotides) under uncultured Comamonadaceae bacterium. Its description in RNAcentral is "bacterial SSU rRNA". It matches the Rfam family "Bacterial small subunit ribosomal RNA", at positions 342 to 791 of the family's 1533-position model. Lineage: Bacteria; Pseudomonadati; Pseudomonadota; Betaproteobacteria; Burkholderiales; Comamonadaceae. The record is from RNAcentral.